UGGGAUGUAGCUCAGUUGGUAGAAUGUUUGCCUAGCAUGCAUGAAGCCCUAGGUUCAAUCCCCAGCACCACAU
This 73-nucleotide transfer RNA is filed under the name Mesocricetus auratus (golden hamster). It matches the Rfam family "tRNA". From Rfam's summary of the family: Transfer RNA (tRNA) molecules are approximately 80 nucleotides in length. Their secondary structure includes four short double-helical elements and three loops (D, anti-codon, and T loops). Further hydrogen bonds mediate the characteristic L-shaped molecular structure. tRNAs have two regions of fundamental functional importance: the anti-codon, which is responsible for specific mRNA codon recognition, and the 3' end, to which the tRNAs corresponding amino acid is attached (by aminoacyl-tRNA synthetases). tRNAs cope with the degeneracy of the genetic code in two manners: having more than one tRNA (with a specific anti-codon) for a particular amino acid; and 'wobble' base-pairing, i.e. permitting non-standard base-pairing at the 3rd anti-codon position. The record is from Rfam by way of RNAcentral. Lineage: Eukaryota; Metazoa; Chordata; Mammalia; Rodentia; Cricetidae.